AUACGUAGGUGGCAAGCGUUAUCCGGAAUUAUUGGGCGUAAAGAGUGAGUAGGCGGUUAAUUAAGUCUGAGGUUAAAGCGUGGGGCUCAACCCCAUAAAGCCUUGGAAACUGAUUGACUAGAGUAUGGGAGAAGUGAAGGGAACUCCAUGUGUAGCGGUGAAAUGCGUAGAUAUAUGGAAGAACACCAGUGGCGAAGGCGCUUCACUAGCCCGAAACUGACGCCCAGUCACGAAAGCGUGGGUAGCAAAUAGGAUUAGAUACCCUAGUAGUCCCCGCUGUAAACGAUGACAACUAAAUAUUGCCGCGAGGCAGUGUUGAAGCUACAGCAUUAAGUUGUCCGCCUGGGGAGUACGGUCGCAAGACUGAAACUUAAAGGAAUUGACGGGG
Molecule: ribosomal RNA, 388 nt
Filed under: uncultured bacterium
Lineage: Bacteria
Description: partial 16S ribosomal RNA
Rfam family: Bacterial small subunit ribosomal RNA
Source: RNAcentral